RNAcentral lists this long non-coding RNA (1077 nucleotides) under Anser cygnoides (Swan goose). RNAcentral's name for it is "lncRNA (ENSACDG00005003372.1)". Lineage: Eukaryota; Metazoa; Chordata; Aves; Anseriformes; Anatidae. The record is from RNAcentral.
UUUAGCUAAUCGCGCUGGAGGAGCUCUUGGAUGAGGCUCGAGAGCGAGAUGUUCUCCUUGGUCCCCCGCCCCGAGACUGCCCCGCGGCGCCCCGCAAGGGGCUGUGGGGUGCGAUUUGCCCCGUCCCGGUGUGGGUGAGACAUCCUGCCAUCGCAUCCCCCCCUGUCCCCGCAGCCUGGGUCUCUCCUGGGGUGACCCUGGAGGGCGAACGACCACGUCUGGGCAGAGGAGAGGCUCCCACGGUGCUGGAGCGGGGUUUGCUGCUGCUGUGGAGGAGCCAAAGAGGAGCACCAAAAGCUCUCCAAGGCCAUCGCAGGACCAAGGGGUGUUCCCAACAGAAACCCUAGCUUUCCUCUGCUUUUGGACCCCGUCUGAGCUUGUUCAAGCAUCUCCUUUGUGGGAAUCAAUCUGGGAGCGUCAUCUGGAAACUCUUCAUGAAGUGAAGAAAACCCCAAAGCCAAUGCUUUUGUCCAGCUUGGAAAUUUCUGGUUUCAGCUCGCAUUCCUAUGUCAGAAUGAUUAGCAUAUUUAAUUAAGCAAGCUUGUUGACAUUUCUAGCUGGGUGGAUGAUUACUCUUCCUUCUUACAAGGAGCAGACAGCAUGAUGGGGAGAAAGAUGAGAACUGCCAGCUUGUCCCCGGAGAAAGGCUUAUAGGAUCGGGUGGGAUGGGGAUGGGACAGGACGGGGACAGGAGGGACAGGAUGGUGGGGAUGGGAUGGGAUGGGAUGGGAUGGGAUGGGAUGGGAUGGGAUGGGAUGGGAUGGGCAGGCACUGGGCAGCCAUGCAGGUGGGACUCAGGACCUCCAGACAGAGGUCUUGCUUUGGAAAUGUCAUAGUUUUCAGUCUUCCUGCUAUUUCUGCAUCGUUGGUAUUUCUGCCACCUUGUAAAAUAAGAUAAAACUACAAAAUCUCACUGUACUGANNNNNNNNNNNNNNNNNNNNGGACGGGACGAGACAGGACGGGACGGGACGGGACGGGACGGGACGGGACGGGAUGGGAUGGGAUGGGAUGGGAUGGGAUGGGAUGGGGGUGUCUGGGAGCAGGGAGCCGUGCCCUCCUGCCAAGACUCCAGUUUA